GGAAGUGAAGUCAAGUCCGCCAUUUCAUCUUCUUCUUUAUAUCGGAAGUGAAAGGAAUCAUGCAAGGAUGCAAGCUGAAGGAAAGGACAACUCUCACAUCAGUGCAUUACUAAUUGUUUGACUUCAUCAUCAAGCACACCAGACGGUGCGGUGGUACAGUGGAUAGCUCUGUUGCCUCCCAGCAAAAAUGUUUCUGGUUCGAGCCUCGGCUGGGUCAGUUGGCAUUUCUGUGUGAAGUUUGUAUGUUCUCCACGUGUUGGCGUGGGUCUCCUCCGGGUGCUCCGGUUUCCCCCACAAGACAUGCGGUACAGCUCAGAUUGUGAUGGACCGGGAAUGUGACACCAGUUACUCUUAAGUCAAGAACCAAAUGAAGCACCAGAGUACAGAUUAUGGAGGUAUCUGAAGUUGAACUAACUGGAAGCAGGGAACCAUACUAAUAAAGUUCCUUAAGCAGGUUCCUUGUAAAGAUUAACCCAGGGAAGGAUCGAAAGUGGAGAAGACCAGAUCAAGAAAGACCACAUCAAGAUCUGCGGUCAGUUCAAAGGAUGUUUUGCAUUGGACUGUUUUUUUUUUUUUGGCUUUGACCCUUGCUCGACCCUGACCUCACUCUUGGGACUGCCCUGUUGGAUUUUUAGUUUAUUUAAUUUAAUUUAUUUAUUUUUUUGGUUCUGGGUAAAUGCUAAUAAAUAUUUAGUUGUAAUUAUUUAAGUAAUAUGUUUUUGUUAAAUAUGCGAUUUCUGUGUUUGUUCUGUCUACUCAUACUUGUUUAUCUUGUUUCUGUAAUUAUCAUUUGUUUAUUUGAUCUUGUUUUUGGAUUGCCCUUUAUAUAUAUUUUUAAUUAUUGGUUCUGGCUAUAUGAUUAUAAAA
Danio rerio (zebrafish) is the source of this 867-nucleotide non-coding RNA. Lineage: Eukaryota; Metazoa; Chordata; Actinopteri; Cypriniformes; Danionidae. The record is from Ensembl.